UUAAAUUGUAGAUUGUUGCUAGAGUAGUAAUAGAUAUGAUCUUGAAACUUAAAAAAUUUGGCGGUAUUUUAGUCUAUUCAGAGGAACCUGUUCUGUAAUCGAUAAUCCACGAUGGACCUCACUUAAACUUGUAUAUCAGUAUAUAUACCGUCGUAUAUUGAUGAUUUUAUAAGAAAAAUAAUCUUCAACUUUUUUWAUAGAARUUAAUAUCAGAUCAAGGUGUAGCUUAUGUUUAAGAAGAAAUGGGUUACAAUAAAAUUAUUUUUGGAUUUUUCUUUGAAAAAAGAUUAUGAAAAUGGAUUUGAUAGUAAAUUUUUAAAGAUAAAAAAGUUGAUUUUAGCUCUAAAAUAUGCAC
Molecule: ribosomal RNA, 355 nt
Filed under: Myopa sp. JFG-2012
Lineage: Eukaryota; Metazoa; Arthropoda; Insecta; Diptera; Conopidae
Description: partial 12S ribosomal RNA
Source: RNAcentral